CAGUACCACGGUAAUACGGAGGGUGCAAGCGUUAAUCGGAAUUACUGGGCGUAAAGCGCACGCAGGCGGUCUGACAAGUCAGAUGUGAAAUCCCCGGGCUUAACCUGGGAACUGCAUUUGAAACUGUCAGGCUGGAGUCUUGUAGAGGGGGGUAGAAUUCCAGGUGUAGCGGUGAAAUGCGUAGAGAUCUGGAGGAAUACCGGUGGCGAAGGCGGCCCCCUGGACAAAGACUGACGCUUAGGUGCGAAAGCGUGGGGAGCAAACAGGAUUAGAUACCCCUGUAGUCCAUGUCUCUUAUACA
Molecule: ribosomal RNA, 301 nt
Filed under: uncultured bacterium
Lineage: Bacteria
Description: partial 16S ribosomal RNA
Rfam family: Bacterial small subunit ribosomal RNA
Source: RNAcentral